Long non-coding RNA from Salvia splendens (bonfire salvia), 1003 nucleotides. RefSeq lists it as uncharacterized. The transcript has 3 exons. The record is from RefSeq and is a predicted model, not a curated record. Lineage: Eukaryota; Viridiplantae; Streptophyta; Magnoliopsida; Lamiales; Lamiaceae.
CAUCCAGAUCAGACCCGACCCGGAUCUACUGCCGCCGGCCCGCCGGUAAACCGUGAACUUUCUACUUCCCAUAAUUUGGAGAGGGAUAAAAAGCAGCGCAGAGCUAAAGUUAGAGUGAGAGGAAUGGUGGGAACCUUGCUCUCUCUCUACACCUAUACUGUUAUCCAUCAUCAUCAGCAUUCAUUAUUUGUAUCGAAGCAAUUCUUUGCCUCUCCACCUAAAUUUCAUAAAUUUUGCUUUUUUUUCUGUUCGGAAUUCUUCCCUUUUUUGAUCUCAUCUGUCAAUAUAUGCAACCGAGAAGAGAAUGAGCGGAGACGGAGUUUGGAGAUUGAAUCACUGCAUUUGAUUCGGUUCUGGUGAAGGUGAGCUUCAGCUUCGUAACAAAUUUUGUUUGCUGCUUUCUCUGCCAUUUUACGUACUCACUUCAAAGCCACGUAAAAUUGGACGCAAACACUGAAGUAUGGUUGGGAAGCCCAAGAAGGAAAUUUUCAUCAACAUAUGAUCAUGAGAUUACUACGGUUCCCACAGUCUUCGGACCAAGCUGCUUCAGGUUCAGGUACGCCUAAUGGAAAGUGUGCCUGCGACGUAUACUGCUUCGGGAAGGUAUGGCUCGAGCUUGUGACUGGUAAGCUGGGCUUGAGUUCAUCCACCAACACCACCACGAAGGAGUGAUUAGAAGCAACGCAACCGUACAUUAGUAUGUACGACAAGGAGCUAGUCACAAACAUCGUGGACCCUUCAAUCCCAAGAAGAAGUACGAGCGAUGGCAAUAAUCGCGAGGUCUUGCCUCAAUCCCAAGCCGACAAGGCGAUGCACAACAUCCUCAAAGCUUUGGAAAAUCCUCUGAAGGUGGUAAGAACCGCAACAUCCUCUAGAGGGUCAUGGAGUGCUGCUCUAUUUGGGAGCUGGCGGCAGGGUUCUUCAGCGGCCAUGUCCCAUAAAGCUGAAGGCAGCAACGGUUUCAAGCAGUCGGGAAUGACGGGGUCUAUAGGGAGCGGGCGGA